CACUCUCUGACAGCGAGCGCCACGCUGCUCUGGUCCACCUGCUGCGCCAGCCACACUCCGUUCCAGAACUGACAAGCGUCAAGUUGCACUUUCGGAGUGUUCCCAGCUUGCAAGUUUAAAAGUUUGCAGAAGCUAGCGUUAGCAGUUAGCGUCUUCAACGACCACCAAAACUCAUUUCUUGGGCGUGCAUUUUGGUGCAACGAUGUAACUAAAGCUUUUAACGGUGGCAAUGUCUGGACGACAGCGUCGUUUGGCCGGAGGUGCAAACCUUUCAAAUGAGCCCGUCAUGGCCGACUAACUUUCUGCCUGCAUCUGGAACAGAGGAAGCAGAUUGACUGCAAAAUGGCAAAAAUAUUUUUAUUAGCAAGUCAUCUUGUCAAAUUGACUAAAGCAAACAUUUGUUUUUCUUUGUCUGCAGGGUCCAAGAUGGCUGCCUUGCAGUUCCCGCAUAGCUUCAUGAAACACUUGCAGGUCUACUCUUGCUCAAUUUGCUAGUUAGGCUGAAAAUGUUAAAGCAGACUGGUUCUAACCUUACCGUGUCUUUCAGACCAGCGAGCUGUGGUUGGAGAGACUGCUGCCCUCCAUUUCUCACUGGUGAAACAUGCACGCGUCCAAAUGUUUGACACAUGUCAAACAUUUCAGUUUGUUCAUCUUUCUUUUGUCCACCAAGUGGUGCCAAAGGACCUAAUUUCUGCAACAUGGAUCUGCUGGUGUGGUUCUAAAAGGUUUUGAACCUGUGGAAUCAGAUGUGCUGACAGGUGACAACUUAUUACAAACUUGGCAAUAUUUAAAAGCACUUACCUGCUUCUUUUUUGGCCUCCCACUUCCUGCAGAGCACUUUCCAGUACGGAUGAAGUUGGAAAAUUUGCCACCUGCUGGCCAAAGGUGUCCACCCCGGAGAGCAGAGUGGACAAAUCCUGGUUCACAAAGUGCAAAGCCUGCCAGUUUGUCUUCUGCCACAACUACUCUGAGCUUGUCCACCUGGAUCCGUCCUGCCUAAAGAACCUACUGCUGUGUGGAGCACCAUCAAGUACCUUCUCACAGCAGAAGCUGAGGACCAGAACAAAGCUACAGACCAGCAGCACUUACAUUUCCUUGUUACUUCCUCAUGAACCUGAAAAGAAGCAAGGAACAAAAUCAACAUCCUGAAUCAUGCAGCAAGGAACAAAAUCGUCUACCUGGUCAUGCAGCUUGCAAAACUCUCCACAUACUCAACUUGUACACUGGCAGGGAAGAACACUCAUCCCACUACCUGACCACUUACUGCCUGUCCCUCUGGCCAACUGCUCGUCCGCACAACCUCUCGUCUAUCUGACCGACCACUUCACCAGUCUGCAAUGAGCAGAUUGCUAUCCAACUUGUUACUUUCUUGUGAUUGUUUACUCUGCAAAAGAAUAAAACAAUUACAAAUAACAA
This is a long non-coding RNA of Syngnathus typhle (broad-nosed pipefish), 1416 nucleotides long. RefSeq lists it as uncharacterized. NCBI's taxonomy places the organism in Eukaryota, Metazoa, Chordata, Actinopteri, Syngnathiformes, Syngnathidae. The transcript has 10 exons. The record is from RefSeq and is a predicted model, not a curated record.